RNAcentral lists this ribosomal RNA (619 nucleotides) under Pseudomonas aeruginosa. Its description in RNAcentral is "bacterial SSU rRNA". It matches the Rfam family "Bacterial small subunit ribosomal RNA", at positions 96 to 711 of the family's 1533-position model. The record is from RNAcentral. Lineage: Bacteria; Pseudomonadati; Pseudomonadota; Gammaproteobacteria; Pseudomonadales; Pseudomonadaceae.
CGGCGGACGGGUGAGUAAUGCCUAGGAAUCUGCCUGGUAGUGGGGGAUAACGUCCGGAAACGGGCGCUAAUACCGCAUACGUCCUGAGGGAGAAAGUGGGGGAUCUUCGGACCUCACGCUAUCAGAUGAGCCUAGGUCGGAUUAGCUAGUUGGUGGGGUAAAGGCCUACCAAGGCGACGAUCCGUAACUGGUCUGAGAGGAUGAUCAGUCACACUGGAACUGAGACACGGUCCAGACUCCUACGGGAGGCAGCAGUGGGGAAUAUUGGACAAUGGGCGAAAGCCUGAUCCAGCCAUGCCGCGUGUGUGAAGAAGGUCUUCGGAUUGUAAAGCACUUUAAGUUGGGAGGAAGGGCAGUAAGUUAAUACCUUGCUGUUUUGACGUUACCAACAGAAUAAGCACCGGCUAACUUCGUGCCAGCAGCCGCGGUAAUACGAAGGGUGCAAGCGUUAAUCGGAAUUACUGGGCGUAAAGCGCGCGUAGGUGGUUCAGCAAGUUGGAUGUGAAAUCCCCGGGCUCAACCUGGGAACUGCAUCCAAAACUACUGAGCUAGAGUACGGUAGAGGGUGGUGGAAUUUCCUGUGUAGCGGUGAAAUGCGUAGAUAUAGGAAGGAACACCA